UGGGGAAUCUUGCGCAAUGGGCGAAAGCCUGACGCAGCAACGCCGCGUGCGGGAAGAAGGCUUUCGGGCUGUAAACCGCUUUCAGCAGGAACGAAAAUGACGGUACCUGCAGAAGAAGGAGCGGCCAACUAUGUGCCAGCAGCCGCGGUGAUACAUAGGCUUCAAGCGUUGUCCGGAUUUAUUGGGCGUAAAGAGUUCGUAGGCGGUCGAGUAAGUCGGGUGUGAAAAUUCUGGGCUCAACCCAGAAACGCCACCCGAUACUGCUUAACUUGAGUUCGAUAGGGGAGUGGGGAAUUCCUAGUGUAGCGGUGAAAUGCGCAGAUAUUAGGAGGAACACCGGUGGCGAAGGCGCCACUCUGGAUCGAUACUGACGCUGAGGAACGAAAGCAUGGGUAGCAAGCAGGAUUAGAUACCCUGGUAGUCCAUGCCGUAAACGGUGGGCACUAGGUGUGGGAUUCUAUUAACGAAUUCCGCGCCGUCGCUAACGCAUUAAGUGCCCCGCCUGGGGAGUACGGUCGCAAGACUA
Molecule: ribosomal RNA, 526 nt
Filed under: uncultured prokaryote
Description: bacterial SSU rRNA
Rfam family: Bacterial small subunit ribosomal RNA
Source: RNAcentral